GGUUAAGCGACUAAGCGUACACGGUGGAUGCCCUGGCAGUCAGAGGCGAUGAAGGACGUGCUAAUCUGCGAUAAGCGUCGGUAAGGUGAUAUGAACCGUUAUAACCGGCGAUUUCCGAAUGGGGAAACCCAGUGUGUUUCGACACACUAUCAUUAACUGAAUCCAUAGGUUAAUGAGGCGAACCGGGGGAACUGAAACAUCUAAGUACCCCGAGGAAAAGAAAUCAACCGAGAUUCCCCCAGUAGCGGCGAGCGAACGGGGAGGAGCCCAGAGCCUGAAUCAGUGUGUGUGUUAGUGGAAGCGUCUGGAAAGGCGCGCGAUACAGGGUGACAGCCCCGUACACAAAAAUGCACAUGCUGUGAGCUCGAUGAGUAGGGCGGGACACGUGGUAUCCUGUCUGAAUAUGGGGGGACCAUCCUCCAAGGCUAAAUACUCCUGACUGACCGAUAGUGAACCAGUACCGUGAGGGAAAGGCGAAAAGAACCCCGGCGAGGGGAGUGAAAAAGAACCUGAAACCGUGUACGUACAAGCAGUGGGAGCCUCUUUAUGGGGUGACUGCGUACCUUUUGUAUAAUGGGUCAGCGACUUAUAUUCUGUAGCAAGGUUAACCGAAUAGGGGAGCCGAAGGGAAACCGAGUCUUAACUGGGCGUUAAGUUGCAGGGUAUAGACCCGAAACCCGGUGAUCUAGCCAUGGGCAGGUUGAAGGUUGGGUAACACUAACUGGAGGACCGAACCGACUAAUGUUGAAAAAUUAGCGGAUGACUUGUGGCUGGGGGUGAAAGGCCAAUCAAACCGGGAGAUAGCUGGUUCUCCCCGAAAGCUAUUUAGGUAGCGCCUCGUGAAUUCAUCUCCGGGGGUAGAGCACUGUUUCGGCAAGGGGGUCAUCCCGACUUACCAACCCGAUGCAAACUGCGAAUACCGGAGAAUGUUAUCACGGGAGACACACGGCGGGUGCUAACGUCCGUCGUGAAGAGGGAAACAACCCAGACCGCCAGCUAAGGUCCCAAAGUCAUGGUUAAGUGGGAAACGAUGUGGGAAGGCCCAGACAGCCAGGAUGUUGGCUUAGAAGCAGCCAUCAUUUAAAGAAAGCGUAAUAGCUCACUGGUCGAGUCGGCCUGCGCGGAAGAUGUAACGGGGCUAAACCAUGCACCGAAGCUGCGGCAGCGACGCUUAUGCGUUGUUGGGUAGGGGAGCGUUCUGUAAGCCUGCGAAGGUGUACUGUGAGGUAUGCUGGAGGUAUCAGAAGUGCGAAUGCUGACAUAAGUAACGAUAAAGCGGGUGAAAAGCCCGCUCGCCGGAAGACCAAGGGUUCCUGUCCAACGUUAAUCGGGGCAGGGUGAGUCGACCCCUAAGGCGAGGCCGAAAGGCGUAGUCGAUGGGAAACAGGUUAAUAUUCCUGUACUUGGUGUUACUGCGAAGGGGGGACGGAGAAGGCUAUGUUGGCCGGGCGACGGUUGUCCCGGUUUAAGCGUGUAGGCUGGUUUUCCAGGCAAAUCCGGAAAAUCAAGGCUGAGGCGUGAUGACGAGGCACUACGGUGCUGAAGCAACAAAUGCCCUGCUUCCAGGAAAAGCCUCUAAGCAUCAGGUAACAUCAAAUCGUACCCCAAACCGACACAGGUGGUCAGGUAGAGAAUACCAAGGCGCUUGAGAGAACUCGGGUGAAGGAACUAGGCAAAAUGGUGCCGUAACUUCGGGAGAAGGCACGCUGAUAUGUAGGUGAAGUCCCUCGCGGAUGGAGCUGAAAUCAGUCGAAGAUACCAGCUGGCUGCAACUGUUUAUUAAAAACACAGCACUGUGCAAACACGAAAGUGGACGUAUACGGUGUGACGCCUGCCCGGUGCCGGAAGGUUAAUUGAUGGGGUUAGCGGUAACGCGAAGCUCUUGAUCGAAGCCCCGGUAAACGGCGGCCGUAACUAUAACGGUCCUAAGGUAGCGAAAUUCCUUGUCGGGUAAGUUCCGACCUGCACGAAUGGCGUAAUGAUGGCCAGGCUGUCUCCACCCGAGACUCAGUGAAAUUGAACUCGCUGUGAAGAUGCAGUGUACCCGCGGCAAGACGGAAAGACCCCGUGAACCUUUACUAUAGCUUGACACUGAACAUUGAGCCUUGAUGUGUAGGAUAGGUGGGAGGCUUUGAAGUGUGGACGCCAGUCUGCAUGGAGCCGGCCUUGAAAUACCACCCUUUAAUGUUUGAUGUUCUAACGUUGGCCCCUGAUCGGGGUUGCGGACAGUGUCUGGUGGGUAGUUUGACUGGGGCGGUCUCCUCCUAAAGAGUAACGGAGGAGCACGAAGGUUGGCUAAUCCUGGUCGGACAUCAGGAGGUUAGUGCAAUGGCAUAAGCCAGCUUGACUGCGAGCGUGACGGCGCGAGCAGGUGCGAAAGCAGGUCAUAGUGAUCCGGUGGUUCUGAAUGGAAGGGCCAUCGCUCAACGGAUAAAAGGUACUCCGGGGAUAACAGGCUGAUACCGCCCAAGAGUUCAUAUCGACGGCGGUGUUUGGCACCUCGAUGUCGGCUCAUCACAUCCUGGGGCUGAAGUAGGUCCCAAGGGUAUGGCUGUUCGCCAUUUAAAGUGGUACGCGAGCUGGGUUUAGAACGUCGUGAGACAGUUCGGUCCCUAUCUGCCGUGGGCGCUGGAGAACUGAGGGGGGCUGCUCCUAGUACGAGAGGACCGGAGUGGACGCAUCACUGGUGUUCGGGUUGUCAUGCCAAUGGCACUGCCCGGUAGCUAAAUGCGGAAGAGAUAAGUGCUGAAAGCAUCUAAGCACGAAACUUGCCCCGAGAUGAGUUCUCCCUGACCCUUUAAGGGUCCUGAAGGAACGUUGAAGACGACGACGUUGAUAGGCCGGGUGUGUAAGCGCAGCGAUGCGUUGAGCUAACCGGUACUAAUGAACCGUGAGGCUUAACCUU
This 2905-nucleotide ribosomal RNA is filed under the name Escherichia coli. RNAcentral's name for it is "23S ribosomal RNA". It matches the Rfam family "Bacterial large subunit ribosomal RNA". The record is from RNAcentral. Lineage: Bacteria; Pseudomonadati; Pseudomonadota; Gammaproteobacteria; Enterobacterales; Enterobacteriaceae.